This 25016-nucleotide long non-coding RNA is filed under the name Populus trichocarpa (black cottonwood). RNAcentral describes it as "long non-coding RNA (PTRI_LNC003078)". The record is from RNAcentral. Lineage: Eukaryota; Viridiplantae; Streptophyta; Magnoliopsida; Malpighiales; Salicaceae.
UAAGAGAUUUCUUUACUAUUGUAAGUUCAAGUAGACUGCGGUAUUACAGUGAUAUGCAUUUUCAAAGGAAAAAAAUGCAUUGAUGGCCCAUGAGGUUACACGUAAUCAGUAUUGAUAUGCAUUUUCAAGGAAUGGUAAUGGCGGGGGAUAUAAAAAUUCAUAUAAAAAUCACUGUGGUGAUUUGCAAGAGCAGAAAAUUUAAGGGGUUUUUUUGAGAAAUCUCUCGUGAACAGAUUGAGAGUGGUGGGAUUUUUGGGGUCCAUUCACUUGCCUGCCUUUUGGAUAAGAGUUGCUAAAUGGAAGCCAUCACAAGACGAAGCACGUUUCCUGCAUGGUGUUUAAGAACCUUUCACUGUAAUUCAGGAGCGACACUAUUUCUGUCAUCGUUUUCGUGGGACCAGGUCGAAGAACACAACAUGUUUUCUUCUUUCCAGAGGCGCAUGCUUCAUUACUUACAAAGCCGACAAAAGUAUUUACUACACCGAAUGAUAUUAGAUUUACAAAAAAAUCUUUCGAAUAUUCAGGGAUAAUAUUCCAGUCAGUAAAAUCCCAAAUAAUUAUAAUGGCAUUGUGAUAAACAGGGUGCCUAGCUGGUGCUUUAACUGCAUAAACUUAUUUGGAAAAUAUUGUUAUGAUUGAAUCCUCAAGCUCAACAAAUCUCUUUAUGAAGUCUUCACCCAUAACAGUUUUUUGAAGCUGAUCAACACACACACCUUGGAUCAUGUCCAAUGCAAAACCAGUAAUCAACUCACCUUCGAAAUAAUUCCAUUGGGGUAGUUCCUAAACCUCCAUUGUUGCACAAUAAAUUCACCUUCAAGUCUAUUCAAUGUUAGUUCUUUCAUCUGCACUAACAAAUAGACGCAAACAAAAAGAGAGUAUGAAAAAAAGAAUAAUUUUAUGUGUUUGAGGUGCAGAGAAUCAACACCGUAAACAAAAAGAGAGCUUCCUUGGCAUCACAAGUCAUAGGGAUCUCACGCCAGAUCUCCACUUUGAAAAACUUACAUAUUAAUUUUUCUAGUUUUCAACACCCUUCAGCCGAAACCCACCUCUCUAAAAACUCCAUGCCAAAUCUCCACAAUACAUUCCAUACUGUCACUACUAAAAAAAUGGGGUAUUAGCAUCUGAAUUUAGCAACGGAUAAUUCCGUUGCUAAAUUCAGUAACGGAUUUGCAACGGAUUGCAUAUAUAUUAUUUUUUUAAUGUCAGCAACGGAUUUUAGCAACGGAUAAUCCGUUGCAAAAUUUACAUUGAAUUUAGCAACGGAUUUUCCGUUGCUAAUUAAAAAAUAAUUAUUUAAAUUUUAAUAUAAAACCAAAAUUACGAACACCGUUGAUUACAUUUACAAGAAUUAAAUCGCAACCGUUGAGUGUUUGCUGGCUUUGGUAAAUAUACACCAGUGCUCGAUCUCCCCCCACACCGAAAGCCAAACAGAGAUAAUGAAAUGAACAAAACCAAAAUUAAUGAUCUUCCACUUUUCCAGUCUCCUUCGUCCCUAACAACCUCGAUCCAUAGCUGUAGAAAAAUAACCCUCUCUUCAUCAAUGUGAUUUUCCUUUAUCCCAAACAUUUCAUCUUCUUCGCGUCUUCAGCACCCAUAAUUUCUUUUCUUCAUCUUCUUCUCCUUCAUCUGAACAAAAUCGAACCACACCCAUCAUUAUCACCAUCGAACAUGCUGAUUUAAGGUAUCUCCUUGUAAACGGGUUGGGUGUUUAACGGUUUUCUUCAAUAGUUCAGGUAAGUAAUUAAGGGUUUUUGUUUUUGUUUGUUGCAAUUUAACUUGCACUAAAAAUUUUUCACCUAACUUUCCCAAUCCAGGUUUCUUUCUGUCCUGUAGAACAAUCUCGGUCACCUGUAACUCAAGAACACAGGUAAUUUUUUUUUUUCAAUACUUUGAAUAAUUGUUUUAGGCUAUUAAUUCGAUAAUAUAGGGGUUUAUGAAAUGUUUUUACCAUGAUCUAUAACCUAAUUAUGCAUGUCUAAUUGAAAAUUUAUCAAAACCCCCAAUUUAAUUUUUAGGGUUACGGUUCAAAUUUUUUUUGAUGUUCGUAAAUUUUUUGAUCUAUAACCUAAAAUAGCUGUCACUGGAUAUAAAGGGAACAUAAUGAUAAGUUAAGGCACAGGAAUUAAUUUUUGAUUAGAGGUUGUUUAUGUUUAUGUUCAUGAUGUUGAGUUUAAUUUCCACACAUACCUUAUCAUUACUAUCACAGUUGUAAAGAGGGCAUAGAUGCUUUUGAUAUCAUAUACUAUGAAUCGUUUUAGGAUAAACAAAUUGAUGUAGUACUGAACAAAAAGCCUAGGGUGAUUAUUCUGCUUUUUUUAAGCAAUUUUUGUAAUACCUGAGUUUGAUCUCCAACUGUGAUAAUCAACACAUCUUUAUCUGGGCAGAAAGACACCCAGCCUUUCUUGGAGUAAACAUGAAAUUUCGAUGACCCAUCACAUAUAUGCCUUCCUUUUUUACUGUAAAUAAAUAUGUUGUUAUAACAGUAUAUGACUGGGUUUUGAAUGCAGGACCACGAUUUUGGGAGAAACAGGCAAGGUGAUACAUGGGAAAAGGUUGGCCAAAUUCGAGAUAAAUUUGAAUAUGACAGAGAGAAAAGAAUGAGGGAGAAGGGUAUGUUCAAUGCAUAUAAUUUACUCAAUGUGUGGUCACUUAUAUUUCUCGGGAUAAAUUGGUCAAGGGGUCAUUCUUGUAGGUAUAAGUAGCUGAUAUGCUCAAUAAUAACUUCAAGUUGAUUUCUUUUAUCAGAUUGUUUGUCUGUUAGGCAGUCCAUGAUUAAAUCUUUGUGUUUAGCAUGCUCGUUAUAAAUUGCAGAGCUGGAGUUUGAGCAUCCAUAAGCUUGGUUUUGAUUGACUAACAAACAUAUGUAUGUAGACAAGCACCUAUAUGUAUUUACAUAUACACAUGUAUACAUAUAUGUUUUGUGUUUUCUUCUUCUGAAGAGCACUGAAGUAUACAAAUUUUGCUUUCUCCUGUUCAAAGCAUUCUAGAUAGAAGAGGACAUUUCAACAUAAAGUAUCUUCUUAUUUAGAAUAGUGUUCAUGCACAGUUGCAGCCAAGUCAGGUUUUUGUUUUUUAGUGCUCACAUCUGAUGCUUUGUGUCACCUGCUACUGAAAUAAGCUCUUGAAUGUGAGUGGCAUUUGUCAAGGUGCUAAACGAUCUGUUUCUCUUUCAUAGAAUCUUGAUUUUGUUUUUGGUAGAAUUUUACCUUUCUUUAUGGUUGCUUUUUUUCUGGUAUUAUUUUCAUCACUAACACUUCCUGUCAUUGUUAGGCCUUUGGGUUUAAUAACCAAACCUAACCUAAAACCAGUCAUUUUGAUUUCCAAAUUGUUAGGCCUAUAUAGGUUUAAGCAAAUGAAUUGUACAUCAAUGGUGGGCUAACUAUAUAAACAUAAGCUCUAACGUAACGGAAGCUUGGAUUUGCUUAGAAGCAUUAAGUUCCAUAAGGAAAAAUCUUUUCUUGUCACAAUAGAGUGAGUUGGACCAUCAUCAUCGCAAUAGAAAGGUGUGAAAUUGAGUUUUUGAAAUUAAGUGUUUUAAGAUUUGAGAAUUUUAUAUUUAAAAAAUAAAAAACAAAUUUUGUGUUGAAAAAGGUUUUGAUAUUAGAAUGUUACCUAUGAGGUUAGUAAACUGUUUUGGUGGUCUUCUAAGGUUUUCUGGUCGACAAAAUGGUGGAAUUCUGCUAUUGGUUUGUGAUAGAGAGGAUCCCAAUCAAAGCAUCACAUAAUUAAUGUAUUAAAUUUUAAAGAAAAAGUGUGUAGGGAUAUUCAAUCAAAACAAUUAAUAAUUUAGAAAGAAUAUGUUUUAACCCGAAAGAAAGAACAAACUUUAAUGGUAUAAUAUUUUAUUAUAUCAACCUUUAUUCCUUGUAUUUGACAUUGUUUAUUUAAUUACAGCAUUUGAUUCAUUUGAUAAAAAAAAUCAAAACGCAGGAGUGUUCUUUAUAGAUUAAAUGACUCCAUCUUAUAAUAAUUACAAUAUUUGAGUAAUUUAGAUAUUCACAGUCCAUUUUUUCCAAAAGCAGAAACUGCAUUUAGCAUUGUCAUGAUCCCUCUGGUUUCAUAAUUCUCCGAAGCCUGGCUGGUUGACAAAAACUGUAAGCGUCAAUUAGAUGUUUUUCUCAUGAAGAACACACAGAAAACUCGGAAGAUAUGGUUUGCUUCCAUGUUCAUCAAUGACAACCAGUUUGAAUGUUAACCACAUGGAAACGUACUGUGACAACAUACCAAGGCAUUACUGAUCACAGAUUUUGUAAAUUAUUGACUGGCUAAAAAGGUAAUUUGUUGGGACUGGACGGAUCAAAACUAAGUAGAUAGUGAUGAUUGUGGACUUUUUUUACAGGACUCCACCGUACUGCAUAUAAAGAAUCAUAUAUACGACACUCAUUUNNNNNNNNNNNNNNNNNNNNNNNNNNNNNNNNNNNNNNNNNNNNNNNNNNNNNNNNNNNNNNNNNNNNNNNNNNNNNNNNNNNNNNNNNNNNNNNNNNNNACUGGCUAAAAAGGUAAUUUGUUGGGACUGGACGGAUCAAAACUAAGUAGAUAGUGAUGAUUGUGGACUUUUUUUACAGGACUCCACCGUACUGCAUAUAAAGAAUCAUAUAUACGACACUCAUUUUGCUUAUUCAGCUGUUGAUUCUUUGUGUUAAUCCAUUGCAAAGUAGGAAAUUAAUAAUCUAUCAACCUUUAUUCCUUGUUAAAAAAUUACAAGAAAAUACUUAGUUUAUUCCAAAUUCUUUAUAAAAAAAUCAAUUAUAAAUGAGUAAUGUUAAUCUUACAAAAAACAAAUAAAAUCAUUUCUUAAAAAUUCCAUCCAUUUGAUUUUAUGUAAUUCCGUAAUAGGAUCUUCAUUCAAUGCCCAAGUUUGUUUAGGAGUGGUUUUGGAUAGAAUAUUUGAUAAAAUAGUACUGCUUAUCAUAAAGUUUUGAGUUUGUAUCACCUUCUUAUCAUUGUUUAUGAUAUUGCAAUUACAUUUUAUAAUAUUUUAAUUUAUUAACAAAAUCUUGUAAUACCUGAGGAUUCAUCAAUAUAACCAAAAUUUCAUUGCUGUCACAUUCUAUAAUAUAAGGAUUUGUUUUAAAGACUAGCAAUUGUUAUAACUUGAUGGGUGUAACAUAUUGUUUAUGUUUUUUAUUUUUCCAGCAAUAUAAAUGGCUUAUUGGAUCACAAUAUAAUCCAAUAGAGUUGGCUAAAUCUGAUUGGGUUGCAAUAAGAAAACCUCCACCUUGUGCCAUUGAUUCUUGGGGCUUAGGUAAGUCUAUUUUGCUCCAUUUUUACAUGGUUGCUUAAUUAUAUCGUGCAUAAUUUUUUUGUUGGGCAUGCCUAUUGUAAUCUUGUCAAGUAGUUGGAACUCUGUCUUUCAUUGGGACAAUAUUGAUAGUUUGUAUAAGAAAACUAAUUGAAUGAUUUUCUUAUAUUAAAUCUGAUAUUGAGUUUAUUUUGGAUGGAAAUUAUGAGACCAAAAUGAAACCUAGAGGUGGGAAUUUAUUUGUUCAACUCCAAAACUAUUAUAAAGAUAAAUUUAUUUAAUAUUUGUUCAACUAAAUAUUUUUUUUUAUCCAUUCAUUCUGUAUAAAAUACUAACCGAACAUAAUCUAAAAAGUAUAUUUUUGUCACUAGUUAGAAAAUAUAAAUGACAAUAUAAGUGUGUGGGAAUUCCUCACACACUCAUAUUGUCACACUAAACAACCUAUAUAAUUAAAAACUCAAUAAGAAAAAGUAGAAGAAAAACAGUUAUCUAUUUUUUAGCUUCAUAUAUGUUUGAGCUGGACAAAUAAUUAAAGUUUAUUCAUGUGGUACAUAUUUUAUUUUAAAGGAUUGUUUAAGUACUAGUAGUUAAAGAAGUAUGCUUAUUUCAAAAAAUGCUUAUUGGUGUUGUCAUGUUAAUUAGAUUAACAUGGAUGAUCGAUCGUGGAUGUAUCAUCGUCUUAUGGAUGGUCGCCUUCGUCCUGAAUACAUUACUGGUGUUAGAAGAUUUAUCAAUUUUGCAUUUUCAAUUGAUAAAAAUAUAUCUGGGGGAAAAAUUAGAUGUCCUUGUGUGAGGUGCAAAAAUCAAAAGUUUUUAAAGGAAGAUGAUGUUUGUAAACAUCUAUUGACAAAAGGUUUUUUACCUUGUUAUGAAAAUUGGACUGUACAUGGGGAGCCUUAUGUCGCAGAACCAAUAUUGGCUGGACCUUCAUCGAUUAUAAUGAGUCAUGAUGUGAAUGAUGUUUGUCUAGAGAAUCCAUAUAGGAAUCUGGUUAUGGAUGCAAUGGGGGUUGGUAAUGCAUUCUAUAAUGAUAAUGUGUCUAGUCCUAUGGUAGCAGGGGAAAUUCCAAAUCCGGAGGCAACUAAAUUUUUUAAGCUUUUGAAAGCCGCGGAGGAGCCGUUGUGGGAUGGGUGUACCAAACAAUCCAAAUUAUCUGCUUGUGUACAAUUGCUUAAUAUGAAGUCAACUUUAAAUUUGACUCAGAAUGCCUUCAACAAUUUUAUUGACUUUACAAAAAGUUGCAUGCCUAAUGAUGAAAAUUUGGUUUCAAAUUUUUAUGAUGCUAAGAAAUUUAUGCGGCCACUUGGACUUGGUUAUGAGAAAUAUGAUGUGUGUCCUAAUUACUGUAUGUUGUACUAUGGGGUAGAUGCAAUGAAAAUAAAUUGUGAUUUUUGUGGAAGUUCACGAUACAAACCUAGAAAUCCAACUAGUAAAGGUUCCAAUAAGGCGGAGAAGCAACUCCGAUACUUUCCUCUAACACCAAGGCUUCAGAGACUAUUCAUGUCUCCAUAUCAUGCCAAAGAUAUGACAUGGCAUCAUUUUCAUAAGUCUGAUAAUGGGGUUAUGGUGCACCCAUCUGAUGGGGAGGCAUGGAAGGAGUUUAAUCGUGUCCACUUAAGCUUUGCAUCAGAUCCGAGAAAUAUUCGGUUAGGGUUGUGCACUGAUGGGUUUUGUCCAUUUGACAUGUCUUCAAAUACAUACUCUUGUUGGCCAGUAAUUGUGACUGUUUAUAAUUUGCCUCCGUGGAAGUGCAUGACUAGACCAUUCAUGUUUUUGACAAUGAUGAUUCCUGGGCCAAAGAAUCCGGGUAAAAAGCUUGAUGUUUUUCUAAGACCUUUGAUUGAUGAGUUAAAGAAUUUGUGGUUUUUUGGUGUUGAAACAUAUGAUGUAUACAGAAAGGAAAAUUUUCAAUUAAGGGCAGCUUUGAUGUGGACCAUUAGUGACUUUCCAGCAUAUGGCAUGUUAUCGGGGUGGAGUACUCAUGGAAAUCUGUCUUGUCCUUAUUGUAUGGAGCAUAGCAAGGCUUUUAGAUUAAAAAAUGGGGGGAAAACUACAUUUUUUGAUUGUCAUCGACGAUUCCUACCCAUGGACCACCCAUAUAGAUUUCAAUAUGAUAAGUUUUUGAAAGGAGUAAUUGAAAGGCUUCCUCCUUUACCUCGUCCAUCUGGUUUGGAAAUGUUAAAUGAAGUGUCCAAGUAUACUGAGGGACAUAAUGGAGGUUCAUCAUAUAAUGAUAAAAUUCCUGGCUUUGGUGUUAAGCACAAUUGGGUGAAGAAGAGCAUUUUCUGGGAGCUUCCAUAUUGGCAUACAAAUUUGAUUCGUCAUAAUCUUGAUGUCAUGCAUAUUGAGAAAAAUGUCUUUGACAACAUUUUUUAUACAGUAAUGGAUUGUCCGAAUAGAAGCAAGGACAAUUUAAAGGCUAGGUUGGAUAUUCAAUUGUAUUGUCAGAAGCCAAAUUUACAUUUGCAACAAGAUAUGAGUGGUCGGCUUUACAAACCUAAAGGCACUUAUUGUCUACACAAGAAACAACAACAAGAAGUUUUGUCAUGGAUGAAGGAAUUAUCAUUUCCUGAUGGUUAUGCUUCAAGCAUUUCACGAUGUGUGAAAGAGGCACAAUGUAAGGUUUCAGGGAUGAAGAGCCAUGAUUGUCAUGUCUUCAUUCAAAGACUUCUUCCAACUGCUUUUCGACCUUACUUACCUAGGCCACUGUGGGAGGCAUUAACUGAACUGUCCGUAUUUUUCCGAGAUAUUUGUUCAACAAAUUUAAAUGCUCAGCACAUGGAGUUAAUGCAGAUGAAUAUAAUUGAAAUAAUUUGCAAACUUGAAAGGAUUUUUCCUCCAUCCUUCUUUGACUCCAUGGAACACUUGACGAUACAUCUACCUUAUGAGGCAAAAGUUGGUGGACCAGUUCAAUAUCGAUGGAUGUAUCCAUUUGAACGGUAUGUUUUCAUACUAUGUUAAUUUUAUUCACUUUUUAUUUUUUAAAAAUAAACUAAUUGACAGAAAUGAUAUAGGUAUAUGUUUUAUUUGAAGAAGAAAGUGACCAAUAAAGCUAAAGUUGAGGGUUCCAUAUGUGAAGCAUACUUGAUUGAUGAAAUUACCAAUUUUGCAUCUCAUUAUUUUGGUGAUGACGUGCAAACAAUUUGGAAUCGAGUUCCACGGAAUGAUGAUGGUGGCCUUAGAAGUGUAGAUGGAUGUCUCUCUAUUUUUUCCUAUCCAGGGAAAAAAUUAUCCAAAAGAUUUUAUAAAAGGCAGUUGUCACAUGCUGAAAUGCAAAUUGCGCAUAACUAUGUGAUAUUCAAUUGUCAAGAACUGAAGCCUUAUUUAGAGUAAGUAUUAAAUAUUAAUUUGUACUAAAUUUAUAAUAAUUUAUUAUUAACUUUAACAUUUUAAAAUGUUAGGCAAUGUCGACAAGAGCUAAAGUCACAACAACCACAUGCGAGUGAUGGUGAAAUUGAAAAAUUAUGCGAAGUGAUCUUUCCAAAUUGGUUAAAAAAUAAUGUAAGUAUUUUAGUAAAAUUAAUUUAUAUUUUAUGUCAAUUAGCUACUUUAAAAAUAUUAUUAAUCUCUUUUGAAUCAUUAUUUCUUAUGGAGUUAACUAUUAUGCUAGGUGGAAUACCAAUCUAAUGGAAUUGAAAAUCAGCUCUUUGGACUUGCUAUGGGCCCUUCAACUUCAGUGAAAUGUUAUAAUGGCUAUUAUGUGAAUGGUUUUAAAUUUCAUACUCAAUGUUAUGGUCGUUUUAAAAAGACAAUGAAUAGUGGAGUUUGUGUGAAAGGAAGUUGCUAUGACGAUAAUGAACGUGAUUAUUAUGGAAUGCUUAAAGAAGUUGUUCGGCUAAAAUACUUGGGGAGUAAGUGCAAGUUAUUUAUGUUUAAAUGUAAUUGGUAUGAUACAAAACGAGGGAUUAGAGUGCAUCCUUCGAAUGGUUUGGUUGAAAUCAAGCAUACAUCUCGACUACACGGAAAUGAAGAUUUUGUGUUAGCACAACAAUGUCAACAAGUCUACUAUACAUAUCCACCUGGUAAUAAAUCAUCUGAAUGGUGGACGGUUAUUAAGACAACUGCUAGAAGUCGUUAUAAUGUUGACAUGGGUGAAUUUAUUGAAGAUGCCAACAAUUUGAGAUCAUUUGAUGUUGAUCAAUCAGAUGAGAUUUCUCAAUCAUGUCGUGUCCUUCCUACUCAAACACUUGAUGAUCCAAAUAUACUUGUUGAACCAUCUUAUUAUGAAGAAAUCGGGCAACAUGAAUUGAUUCAACUUGACAUGAAUUGGGGAAACNNNNNNNNNNNNNNNNNNNNNNNNNNNNNNNNNNNNNNNNNNNNNNNNNNNNNNNNNNNNNNNNNNNNNNNNNNNNNNNNNNNNNNNNNNNNNNNNNNNNCAUGGUGAUGGUGAAGAAGAAGAAGAAGAUGAUGAUGAGGAUGAUUGUUAUGGUGGUGAUGGUUAGGAAUGAUGAUAAUAAUGAGUAGCACAAGUUAAUUAUAUUUUGUAGUAUAUGUAAUGAAUUAUCUUUAUUAUAUGUAUGAAUGAUUUCAUAUUAUUUGACAAUAUUUAGGUUGUCAAUGUUUUUUUUAUUUUAUUUUUUUCAAGUGUGGGUUAUGCAUCACAUUACAUAAAUCAUUUUCAUUCACCUUUGAAACCAUUUAUAACCUUUCAAGUAUCAAUCUUUAAAUUGUGAUUCUGAUGUUAUAUUUUAUUUUGUGAUUCGUUUUCUUGCUUACAGAUGCUGAAGCGUGAAAGAAAGGGUUCUUCAUACUCAAUGUUUUGAUUUAUAGGACCUAAUAUCAAGGUAAGCAUACUUAUAAAUUUUGAUUUCUGCUUAAUUAAUUAUUUAGAUUAUUAUUUUUAUUACUGUUUGUGGUAAUUGGCUUUUGACAAUUUAAACUUCAUGGCUGAGUUUUGUCAAUGAGAUUUAACAGUUUGUUUUCAUUCUAGUUAUGGCAGUCUUUGGAAAAUAUCUGUGAAUUUUUUGUUCCUGAUAGUUUAACUAUGAGCUAAUUUAUUGUUAUGUUGUAUAUAUUGCCAUAUUCUAAAUGUUAGUUAUUUUUCUGGUUUUUAGCAUGCCUCGACGAGGAUCUAUAUUAGAUUCUAGGAGUGACAGGUCCACUUCAAGGAGUGACAAGUCCACUUCAUCCAAGUCAUUUCAAACUACAUCAAGGCAUAAUAACAAAGGAUCCACAUUUCAUCAACCUGUGUAUCAGAACGCAAAUGAGUAUUAUAUACCUACUUUGGGGAGUACACAUCCUCCUCAACAUGAUUAUGGGAGGGUUGAUGCAUAUCAAUAUUGUGAGGGCUUUCGUUUUCAAGAUUUGCUUCAAACUCAAGGAGGUUUCUCUCGAGAUAACCAACUUGUUUAUGGAGGAGAUAAUUUAUAUGGGAGUUAUAGGAGAGUUGAAGGUAAUGAUGAUGAUGUGAACAUUAGAAAUGAAGAUGAGGGAGACGGUAGUAAUGAGAGAGGUGUAUGUGAUGAGAGAGAUGUAUGUGAUGAGGAUCAAGAUGGUGUUCCAUCAUAUCACGGUUCAACAUCUUCUCCAUACAAUUAUGAUCAAAGUGUUAAAAGGAAGGGUUUUGACACGUCAAUAAAUCCAAUAACAAGAAAAAAAGAGCUUUGUUUGUAUGGAACAACAGAGUAAGUUCAAACUUUCAAUAACUAACAUAUUAAGGUUAUAUUUUCAAGUAUGAAAAAAAUUACUUAUUAUUGUGUAAUUAUUUGUUUAAUAUAAGUUUGUUAUUAUAUAUUUUCAGGUUCAAUAAUGCAUCGUGUGGUCGUGCAAUCGGAGAUAUUUUGAGGUCCAAUUUUAAGGGAGCAUGGCACUCUUGGGAAAAAGUAGAUCCAAUGUGCAGGGAUGAACUCUUUAAAGAGUUUAAGGUAAGAACCAACACUAAUUGCCAUAAUAUUCUUUUUAAUUUUGAUCACUUUAAUGUAGAAUUAUGAAAAUUAUCAACUGAAUAGCUAUGAUUGAUUUGUGUUAUAAUUUGUUCUUAUUUCUUGUUUACUCUUUAAUAUCAUUUAAUUUCUUUAGUUAUUACAUCAUCUUGCAAAUUCUGAACAAGAUAACACAAUAUGAUUAAUUAUUUAUAUAAUUUGAAAUUUUGUGCACCCUUUUUACUUGGUAUAUAUAUUAUUUGGUAGAAAAAAUAUUCCUUUCCUGAGGAAGAUGAGUCGAUUGUUCGUAAUAUUUGGGAAGAUAAGGCUAGGAUAGCUUUGAAUCAACAAUUGACCCGAGCUCGCAAGAAAGCCAUGUCAAAAGAAAACACUACAAAUAUUAUAGAUUGUCUUGAUAAAGGUCCUGCCUGGAUAAACAAUGAUGACUGGAAUCAAAUGAUCAAAGAUGUUUGGUCCACCCCUGAAUUUCAAAGGAGAUCUGAAUCUGCUAGGAGAAAUCGAUUAACCAAAACAGAUGGCAAAAUAAGCACUCAUUCUGGAGGAACAGUGUCAUUUGCAUCAUAUCGAGCUAACAUGGUAAGGAUUUUUUUUUAAUGCUUAAGAUAAUAAAUUAAAAUUUAGAUAUUUCUCUUUUAUAAUAUUUAUUAAUCUUGAAAGCAAGAGGAAGCUGGUGGAAAAGAACCUCCAUGGGAUGAUGUCUUUACAGCUUUGCAUCAAAGUACUAAGCAAUCUGGUAGCUUUGUCGACAACAAGUCUAAAAAAGUGGUUGUAUGUAUUUUUAUUUGAUUAUUUCUUAAUAUAACUUAAGUAUUAUUCAACAUUCAAAUUAAUUUAUUGUUGCAUGUAUUUUAUUUGUAGGAAAAUUAUAAAAUGGAGAUGAUUUCAAAGUAUGGAACUGAUCGGGAAAAUCAUCCUUCAUUUGAUGGAGCAGCUUGGUGUGUGGCUUCAGGAGGAGUUACAAAGGGUAGAGUAUAUGGUGCACCUCGUAUGCCAAAAUCAAAAGUUAGUACAAGCUCGUCAUCACAUUCUUACUCGGUGGAGUCAUCAUAUCCCAGUUCAUCGUAUCAAGCAUUGCAAAAGGAGAUAAAGGAUAAAGAAGAGGAGAUAAAGAAAAAAGAUGAUUUUAUUCUUGAAAUGAAACGGCAGAUGGAUUCCAUGAAAGAAUAUCUUGUGAACAAUCUUGGAUACCAUGGUGGGACAUCAAAUAUUGAUCAAGGUAUGCCACCACCUUUGACUCCAUCAAUACCGCCACCUAUGGCUCCUCAGAUAAUGACACCUAUGGGUCCUGCAUUUCAACCAAUUUUUCGACCUACACCUCGACCUUUAUAUCCUGCUCAAUCUUCUGUUGAUCCACAAUAUCAUGGUUCGUCUUCGCAACCUGCACCAUGAUUGUAUCUUUUGUUGUUUUUUUUAUUAUUGUAUUUGAACUUAAUUGUAUUAAUGCAAGUUUAACUAAAUUUUUAUAAUAUGAAUAUUAUUUUUAUUUUGUUUUUUAUUAAUGAUAUAAUUAUUUUUAAUAUUAAUUAAUUUAUGUUGGUUAUAUAUAUUCUACAACUUUUAAAUUAUCCAUAAAUAAUUAAAUAAAUAAAUUAAAAGUGAUUUUAAUAAAUAAAUAAAAAUUAAUUUAAUAAAAAAACAAAUGCAAUCACCAACGGAUUCUCCGUUGGUGAUUGCAACUUAUGCAUGAAUCAGCAACGGAGAAUCCGUUGCUGAUUCACAAAAUUAGCAACGGAUUUGUCCGUUGCUGAUUUGGCAGCAACGGAUAAUCCGUUGCUAAUUUUGCAACGGAUUAUCCGUUGCUAAAUUUCAGCAACGGAUUUUCCGUUGCUGCCAAAUCAGCAACGGACAAAUCCGUUGCAAAAUAAUCAGCAACGACAAAUCUGCAUCCGAUUUGUGCCGUUGCUGAUUCCGUUGCUAAAUUGUUUUAGCAACGGAUGUUAGCUUUAUUUGCAACGGAAUCGUCCGUUGCUAAUUACUCCAUUUUUUAGUAGUGUGUCUUUUUUAUGUAAUUUUAUGUCUGACUAAAUAGCGAGGAACCAAGAUCUUUUUUUGCCCCAGUUAAACUCAUGUAAGCCAAAAUUUCAGCGGCUUUGAUGAUUAUUAUUUCUGAAUUUUUCAGUUUUAAGGUGUAAGAGUGAUUCUUGCAUUUUAGUUCUUGAACGAACUGAAUCUGACUUAUCGAAGAUUAACUGGCUUCGUGGCAUCAUUCUACUCAAUCCAAUAGUGUUGGUGCCUUGGGGCAGGUUUUCAUUGUGUCACACUCCUAUCAGACCUUUUUCGGCUUUCCGGGAUCAAAUCUCAAUCUUGAUUAUGGGUUGCGUGACCACGUGACACGAGGUUCGCAUCAGUUGGUAUCAGAGCUAGGCUCUGAAAUAAGGUCAUAUCCUUCUAUUAUUCUCGUUUUUUUAGUGUUCCUUUAAGUUUUUCAGUGUUUGCGUUCAUCUUCUUGUUCUUUAUGUCCGCGUCAUCUAAGCAAAAAAAAAAAAAAGUUAUAUUUCUUCUUAUUAUUCAUAUUCUGUCUAUUGGGGGCUAGAUUACAUCAUAAAUCCAAUUUCCCACCAAAUCAAUCCAUACUCCGUAAACUCAAUUAUCACCAAUUUCACCUUCUUUUGUUUAGAAUAGUUAUGGCAAUCAAAAAUUCAAUCUACCUUUUUCUCCCACUCCAAAUAAGCCUCGUGAUCGUUUUUACCUUGAAAGUUAGGAAUUUUCAGUUUAAUUGUGUUCAAGUCCCCAUCCAUUUCUUCAUGAUGUGGACCAGCCCAGAAACACCAACAAGGACCCAUUACAUGUUCCAAAUGGUCCAAUGACUCGGUCCAAGACAAAAGCAUUGAAAGAGGCAUUGAAUGCAUUGGUUUUGAACGUUUCAACCAAGUCAGAAUUGAAAAGUCCAUUAGAGUAUCAAGAGGAGACCCUAGUACAUCUUAUCCAUGUGCAAGAAAAGGGAUCCAAUACAACCUUAUUUGGGCCAUGAGAUGAGGACAACGAAAAAAACAAAAAAAUCCUACUACAACUUGGAAACAAUAUGGGUGGCUACCUUUUCCUUUUAUUUUUGGGAUUAAGGGGCUGCAUUGAAGGCUAUAAAUAAGCCUUGAAUUGGUUCUGUAAUAUUUUACUUCCUUCUUUUCUUCUCAUGGCAGAACAUGGAUUUAAUAUUAGGGGCUUUAUUUUUUUUUUUAGCAACAGCCCAAGGCUUGUGAUGAUUAUUAAUUCUGAAUUUUUCAGUUUUAACGUGUAAGAUGAUUCUUACAUUCUUCAGUUCUUGAACGAACUGAAUCUAACUUAUCGAAGAUUAACUAGCUUCGUGGUGUCAUUCUACUCAUUCCAAUAGUGUUGGUUCCUUGAGGCAGGUUUUCAUUGCGUCACACUCCUAUCAGAUCUAUUUCGGUUUUCCGGGAUCAGAUCUCAAUCUUAAUUAUGGGUUGCAUGACCACGAGAUCCCGAGAUUCGCAUCAGUUUUUUGUUCAAAAUCCCUUAACAAUUUGAUUUUCCCUUUUUCUAUUUUGUGAAUAAAAUUCUCUUAAAGUUGAUUUAUUAAAAUAAUAUUUAUGGAUCCAAUUAAGUCAUUUUUAAGAGAAUUAGAGAUUUUUAUGAUAAUAUUAGCAAUUUCUUUAAGAAUAAUUAUAUAUUAACUUAAAAUGCAUAAAUUUUAAAAUAAUUUGCUUGUUAAUUUUGAAUGAGAAUAAAAUAUCUAUUUUUUUAUAAUUUUCUUAAAUUUAUUAUUUCUAAAUUUAUUCAUAUAGUGAUUUCGACGAUGUUUCUGACCCAUGACAUCAUAAGAACCUUAAUAAAUUUAUUUCUAACAUCAAAGCAAUCUCUAAUCACUCUAAAAACUUGAGAUCCAACCAAAUAGAAAACAGUUUUACUAGUCUCGAUCUACUUUCUGUAGUAUGUUCAAAGAAAAAAAAUCAUCAUCAAUUAACUCUUCUCUCUAAGGAUAAUCCAUUGACACCAAGAUAAACUUUUUAUGUGGUUGGAAUGCAGAUGAAUAAAUUAUUUCUCUAUCCUCUUUUUUUUCCAAUGACUUGAUCUCUUCUCUCUCAACACCAAAGGCUGAAAUGUAAUAAAAAUAAAUAAGUUUAUAAUUGAAAUGUGCAAAAUUAAAAGCUCUAGAGACUAAACUUAUUUUUUUAUAUAAAUUAUAAAACUUAAAACCAUAAACAAUGAAAAAAAGAGAGCUAUUUUUAAUUUUAAAUUUGGUCAUUGUUAUUUUUAUAUAAAUUAUAUUGUAAAAAAAGUUGUUAAUAUUAAUUAAAAUCCAUCACGGGAACCUAAUCUUCCUUUUAAAGAGUAAAAGAUAGACGUGCAUGUAGAUAUUUUAUCUUGUGCCACAACACCCUCAUCAAUUUUUUUAUUUAAUUAUAUUAAAAUAAAAAUAGAUUUUUGUAAGACAAGUAAUGAUUUAGAUUAUGUAUAAAAAUGUUAAUUUUUAGUCUGAAUUCACUUUUUCAUAAUAAUAUUUGUUUUUAACAAAAAUGAUAUUUUUUUAGAGACUUCAAAUAAUACAAAAAAAAAAUGUUUCUCUUUAAUCAAAAUCCCUUCUCUUUUUUUUUUCUUGACAAAAACAUGUUUUUUUAAUGAUAAAUAUUCUUUAAAAAAAACUAUCAUAAUCGUCAUAGAAAGGUUGAUUAAAAAAACAAAACAAAUGAUGGAUUGAUAUUUUUUAAUUUAAAUUAUUUAAAAAUACAAGAAUUAUAAAUUUGAGAAACAAUAUGUAAAAAUUUAUAACAAGAAACAACAAAAUAGAUUAACAAGUAAAUAUUUUAGAAACUUAUGCAUAUUAGGUAAUUAAUGUAUAAUUAUUUGUAAGUAAUUGUUAAUAACACCAUAAACUUAUAUGAAAAAAACGGCAUAAUCGAAUACUUAUGUAAAUCUUUUUUUAGUAAGUUUAUUUAAAGAGAAUAUUAUUAUAAAAAAAAUUUAAAUAAAAAACAAUCAGAAAAAUAUUGAAUGGGUAUUGUAAAAAGAAGGGUCAAACAUGCUUGGGCUAGAAAAAUAGGUCAUAUGUCUAUUCUAUAAUUAAAACCUCAAAUACACCUAGUAUUUUUUAAAGAGAAGACAAAAAGUCAGUCGAUUUUAUUUUUUUUUAAAUUAAACUGACAACGAUCAUCUACUUAGAUAGAUAAUAUGUCAUCCCUUUUUCCAACCUUUUAAAUCAUUAGAGGUGGGUCUAUAGACUAGAAAAACAAGGUCCAAGUUUUUGCACCCAAAAUCCAUAUUUAAACCAUUUUUUAUCCAAGAACAUGAAAAAAUACCAUAUGAACUUUUAAAAUCUCAUUUCUAACAACAAAACACAUUUUAAUUGGUCUGAAAACUAAAAAUUAUAUCAAAAUUAUUUUUUUUUCAAGUAUCAAUCUAAUUUUCCUAGCACAAUUAAAUGUAGAAACCAUCUACUUUGAGUUCCUCUUUUGAAGUUGAAUUCAUAGUCAACAAAAUCAAAGUGCUAUUGGUGGUCAGAUUCUGCCACCCUAGAGCUUUUUGUCUCAACUUUUUUGACAACUUUCUCUUUUAUUUUUCAACCUAUAUGGACUAAAAUGUGGAAAAAAAAUUCACAACCAAAAUGUAAUAACAUAAAAAAAAUAAGGAUGAAAUAUGUAAAAAUUAAAACUUGAGGGAUCAAAUGUAAUUUUUGUGUGCCAUCUAUGGAAAAGGUUUUUUAUUCUUCUUUUAUGUAAAUCUUAAUCCUUAAUCCUUAAUCUCUCAAUUUAUUUUUUAACAAAAAGUUCAAACUUUAUUUUAUAAAAUUGAUCAUUAAUUUUAAGGUUAGAACAUUUAACAAAAAAUAAACAAAAAAAGAAAAAACAUAUUAAAAUAGAUUUCAGUGCAUGAAAACUUAACUUCAAGAGAUGAAAUUAAAAAGAAAUGAACAAUGAAUUUAGCAAUCGAAUUAUAAACGUGCAAAACUAUAGAACUAAAAUAUAAAAAAUGACAAAACAUAACCAGUAAAUGAACAAUAAGCUGUGAGUGUGUGCAAUUUUGUUUUCAUAGUGAAAUGCGGUUGUAAUUUAGUUUUUUGGUUAAUAAUUAGUAUUUAACCCAAAAUCUAACCAAAACCAUGUUAAUAAUCAAGCACCCUGCCCGUUGGGUAAUAUUUUCUCAAAUUUUAUUCGUAGUUGCUUAGUUAGAUAUCCCAAAGUUUUGUAUCAUUUUCAAUAAUUAAAGUUUGAUUUUGAAAACUUUAUUUGACAAAGUCUAAAUUUAACAUAAUUUUUUUAACUAGAGAUUAAAUUAAUUGAUUUUAUGAAUUGCUCAAGGUAAGAUCAUACUAUAUUGAUACUCAAGUGUCUUUCUCACUCUUUUUGAUCUUUCAAUAUCCACAAAUGAAUAUCGUUCAUUCUAAGUUAUGGGAUUAUAUAUUUGGUUUAUAUAAAACCCCGCUCUAAUUACUAGUAAUUUUUCUUUUUCUAACCACCAUUAAUUGAGUUGAGAUCUAAUUUAACAAAUUUCAGCCUAACCAUUUUUAGAAAUUUAAAUAUCAUAAGAUUUAGGAAAAAUUACAUAAAUUCUCCAAUAAUUUUAUCUGAGUUUCACUUUCUUUCUAUACUUUCAUAAAUUAUACUCUACAUCCUGUAUCAAACAAAAAAUUCAAAUAAAAUAUAUUAUUGAGGAUGUAAACUAUUAUUGAACAUAUAAACUAUAAGAUGAAAAGUGUAAUUUAUGAAAGUAUAGAGGAAAAAUGAAAUUCAUAUCAAACUAUAGAAGGGUUUUUAUAAUUAUCCCUAAAAUUUAUAUAUAUUUGAAUAUAUUAAAAUUUAUAUAUAUUUUGAUCUCAUUUGAAGAAGUACUGAAAAACCUUCAGACAUAAUAUGGAUUUUUUAUAGCUGCAUCUUUGGUGGGGUUGUGGAGUGACUAGAUUAGUCUCUGAUGAACUUCACUAAGAAGCUAAAUGUUCACGUGAAAGAAACACGGCAUCACCAAACACGCAAAUAGCCUUAGAGUUAUUUUUGAUAUACUUAACACCAAGGACGGAGCCAGGAAUUUUUAUAGCCUGGGCUAUUAAAUAAAUAUAUAAUUUUUUUAAGAUAAAUUAGUAAUUUAUUUACAUGAAUUUUGGAAGUUAACAGUAAAGUUUUAAUUCAAAUACACUACCUAAAAUAUUAAAAAAUAAAUUUAAAAGUACAUAAAAUUAAAGUGAAAGUAAAAAUAAACCAACUAUUGAAGUUACAUUCUUCGAUGUUUUGUGGAAUAUAAUUCAUUUAUAAUCGAAUCUGAAUCGAUAUUGUAACAACCCCUCAACCAGGAUAAAAUAACAAUCUCAUGUCAACUGGAAAACAAAGUAAUUAAAUUUUUUCUCUCUCUCAAUUCCUCCUUCCUUCACUUGAUUAUUCCUUAGAUUAGUGUUUUAUAAGUUGGACUUUGUAAGUUUACAAGGUUAUUCUCUUAUUUUUUUUAUUUUUUUUCUUAGAUUUUUUUUUAUGUUUUUCCCUUACUUUUCUCUCUUUAUCUCUCGCCUUUUCUUUUCUUUUCUUUUUCUAUUCUGCUUCUGCCAUGUCAGCAACAUAUAAAAAGAAGGAAGAACUGAUUUGUUUUAUUUUUUAAUGGCAAAUAAUCAUUUUACCCUUAAUGAGUCGUUUUGCUUUUAUUUGACGGUUCUCUUUUUUUAUUAGCACUACCAAGCUCUGUUCAUCCUAAAAUUUUAACCAGAUUUUAUUUAAUAUAUUUUAAGAUCCCUCAUAAACUUUCAGCUCAAUCUGAUGGUCGGAUUGAAAAUUACACUCAAUAACGUAAAACUGGUUAAAUUGUGAUUUUUCAUCAAAUUUCUUUAAAAAUUCUGAAAUUUUAACCCAAGCUAAAGUAUCAUAUUAAAAGGCUUCAUGCAAAUUUUAAGAAUUUUUUAAUAACUCAAUCAAUAAUUAUAAAUUAUAAAUUGUUUUUACAUAAACUAGUUAAAAAAUAUUGAUAAAAUCUUGACCUCGAAUAUAGCUAACACCCAGGCCUUUACAUGCCUUCGUCCUUGCUUAACACUUGUUCAAGGAAUGGUAAUGGCGAGGGAUAUAAAUACAUAUAAAAAUCACUGUGGUGAUUUGCAAGAGCAGAAAAUUUAAGGGGUUUUUUUGAGAAAUCUCUCGUGAACAGAUUGAGAGUGGUGGGAUCUCUCGUGAACAGAUUGAGAGUGGUGGGAUUUUUGGGGUCCAUUCACUUGCCUGCCUUUUGGAUAAGAGUUGCUAAAUGGAAGCCAUCAAAAGACGAAGCACGUUUCCUGCAUGGUGUUUAAGAACCACACACAUAUAUAUAUAUAUAUAUAUAUAAAUGUUUGGCAUUCUGAGCGAAUAUUAGUUUUUCUUUUGUGGUGCAUCUGUGCCGUCCGUCCUUUCACUGUAUUUCAGGAGCGACACUAUUUCUGUCAUCGUUUUCGUGGGACCAGGUCGAAGAACACAACAUGUUUUCUUCUUUCCAGAGGCGCCUGCUUCAUUACUUACAAAGCCGACAAAAGUAUUUACUACACCGAAUGAUAUUAGAUUUACAAAAAAAUCUUUAGAAUAUUCAGGGAUAUUCCAGUCAUUAAAAUCCCAAAUAAUUAUAAUGGCAUUGUGAUAAACAGGGUGCCUAGCUGGUGCUUUAACUGCAUAAACUUAUUUGGAAAAUAUUGUUAUGAUUGAAUCCUCAAGCUCAACAAAUCUCUUUAUGAAGUCUUCACCUUGGAUCCUGAUCAACACACACACCUUGGAUCCUGUCCAAAGCAACGAUGAUAGGGAUCCGAGAUAAGAAGGAAAACAAGCGUAAAAAGCAAAACCAGUAAUCAACUCACCUUUGAAAUAAUUCCAUUGGGGUAGUUCCUAAACCUCAAUUGUUGCAGCCUGCAAAUCUAUUCAAUGUUAGUUCUUUCAUCUGCACUGACAGAUAGACGUAAACAAAAAGAGAGUAAGAAAAAAAGAAUAAUUUGAUCGGUUUGAGGUGCAGAGAAUCAACACCGUACUCAAAGAAUGAGAGAUGCCGGUAGAGCACAAGUUUCAUUGGCCUUUCUGUUGGGUUGUUGCCAUUGCAUAUGCACCCAUCCAAGAUGUCAAAGGUUGGCAGCCACCAUUGUUAAAUGAGCUGGAGUUUGGCAGCCACCAAUGUUGACAACAAAGCAAGAACAGCUGCCAUGAAAUGCCUAUAAAUAGAGGCAUUAUGUGAGAGCAAAAUGUGAGAGAAGUGAGAGUGUGUGAGAACGUGAAGAGAAAGAGGAGCUGCUGCCAUGGGCAGCAGCCCUGCUGCCAUAUGCAGCAGAGUGUGUGAGAGGGAGUUGAGUGAUCCUCCUCCAUGUAUUUAUUGUAUCCUUUCUCUAUCUCUAAAUAAUAUGGACUCUCUCCCGUGGAUGUAGGCAAUUUGCCGAACCACGUAAAAUAUUGUGUCAGUGUGCUUAACCCUCCUAUGAGCAACCAUCAGUACACCACCGGUCCGCGCAUAGGGGAGCCGGAAUUGCCCAACAAUUGGUAUCAGAGCACAUGGUUUAAAGGGGUGUUUGAUUUUGCUCAAAAAUGAAAGUUGUCAAAAUUGUGUUUUGACCAUACCACUGUGUAGAGGAGGAAGAUACGAAGCCACUGUUGAAAACCGCGUCGAAAUAAACGUCCACACGCGCCGUCACGCGCCGUCAGGGUGGCUGGCCACGCGCACAGACGCGCGCCACGCGUCACACGCGUCUUCCUCACCCGAAUGACCUGACCCGACCCGAAUACCAGACGACCCGACCCACGCGCCAGACCCGGAUAAGGAUGACAUCAUCAUGACAUCAUCAUGACAUCAUCAUGAUGCCAGUAUACCCAGUCAGCAUGCCACGUAAGCGUCCAGUCAGCAUGCCACGUAAGCGUCCAGUCAGCAUGACACGUUAGCAUACGGGUCCCACCUGCCACGUCACCAGACGCAAGCCGAGCGGAGCCGAGCCGAGUUGAGCCGAGCAGUUUCGGAGCCGAGCCGAGCCGUGAGCCGAGGGAUAAGAUUCUGUGCAGCGGAGUCUAUGUGCAACCGGUUCUGAGAUUGAAUCUGGGCCGUUGAUCUGGACAGAAUUGUUUUGAUCAAAUCUUAGCCAUCUGAAAUGUGAUUUGGACGAUUUCAGACUUGUUUCCAGCUAAUUUGAUCGUUCCGGAUGCAAUGGUACGGUCCGAUCGUUGAGAUUUGUGACCAAAAAUGGUGGUGGUGAAUUAACAAAAGAGAUUGCCCGAUCAGGAGGCAUCUGAAGGUCAUCAUGGUAGUCGAUGGAGAUGAAGAAGAAAAAGGUGCACAUGUUUUCCCAAUUACAUGUGCUGAACUGCUAAGUGGGGAGAAUUUUAACUGCCUUGAAGUAAGGCAAAAUUGGGACACUCUGGACACUCUGGACACCCGAUCAUGUGGACGAUUUGAGGUGGAGAGUGAAAAUUGAUGAAGACCAAUCUUGACGAAUCUAAGCACUGGUAGUCUCGCCAGAUGUUGAGAAAUGAUGUAUUAAACCAGUAUAUUCCAGAUCACUUGUUAAGGAAAGCCGCAACAAAGCUAGCAAAUGGUUGUAUAUACGGAAAGACAGUACGAUGGAUAGAUAUGGCCUAAGAAGUUCUGUCUAGGAGGUUGGGUUUUAAGCGGGACUAGUGUGACCCCUCCAAUCUUUCCUGGGAACUUGCUUAGUGGAAGGAUUAUCCAUACGGUACUAUUUUCGUAUAUAUAGUAGUUUGUAAUGAAACGGUUGAAGACUAGCAGGAUGACGGCACAAGGGAACAGUUGGGUUCCGUAUGAUCAAGGAUCUGAUGAAGUGGUGAUUUCUCCAAAGAAGUUAGAUUCGGUGACUGGGAUUUCUCGAAGGGAGAAUUGAUGAAGACCCUGAUAAUGGAAGAGAAAUACAGCAAGGGGAUAAAGAUUGGCACCCUAUUUUGACUUGGACAGGUGUUGUGACAGGAUGAGCUGCUGUCAAACAUAAGCAAGGAAUAGGGAGAAAUCUGGAGAACAGAAAUUGCACGAGGGCACACGGAGAUUGUGCAGAGGUACCCGUAGGAUCCAACGAGGUACUGUAAUGAGACACCAGGUGCAAGGAGAAGAAGUGUUCCCAGAUGAAGCUCAGAGCAGAGACUGUUAAAGUUUGUACAACAGGAAGUCUCUUGUGCUCUUGAUGAAGACAACAUGCGAAGACCUUUCCAAUGCAUGCAAGGAUGGAAAGAGAGCUGUUGCAGAGGCACCUAAUUGAGGGGGUGCAAACGCCUGUGAUAAAAGGCAACCGCCUAUGAUGAAAAGGCAAAGACACCAAAGAGAGUUGGUGUAGGUGGAGCUGUCAAGCAGAAAGGCGUAGAAGCUCCAAACAUAGAAAUCGAGGUGGAGGAUUGCGAGGAGUAUACCGCAAGUUUCUCUUUCUAUGUAAUCAGUGGCAGUUAUCUCUCCCAUAGUGCACAUGGUGGUAGAGAAUUUUUUUUUUUUGGAGCCACUUUGAAGCAUCUCAGCUGAAGGAGGAUGCGACCGCCUAUGAAAGGCGAAGACACCUUAGAGAAGGUGUGUGAGGGCCGUGAUAGGAGCCCCAGUUCAGACCGCCCCAUGACAACGGGCGAAGACACCUUAAAGAAGGUGUAUGGGCCACGAUAGGAGCCCAAGUUCAGAACAACCCCAGAGCCAAUGUGAUGGCUGGAUAUGAGUGGACAGAGGGAUAGCCAAUGAAGUGGCUAUGAUGAGUAUGGAGACAAAUGCAGGAUUGACUUUCAUGGAUAUUGCCCCCAUGCUAAAGAUCAAUGAGCUAGAAGACAUUUGCCUUGGACAAUAAGUGUGUGACUUGUGGAGCAUUAAGACGCGGCUGCUAUGAAGAAGCAGAAGGGCAUGCGCAGGUUCCGAGAACGAGUUGACUCUUGUCAAGGUGGUGAGCUCGGUAAUGGCAUUGUAAUACUCAGAGUAUGAAGACAGAUAUGGAUCAACCUUUAAUGGGCUGCCCCCAUAGGUAAAGGUGGAGAGCUACCUGGACUCUUGAGACUAAGAGCGAGAGACUCACGGAGAAGUAAGGCGUGGUUCCUAGGGUGGAACAGAGGGCAGGCGCAACUCCUGGAUGAGUAGACUCUUGGAAGAGUGGUGAGCUCGUGAUCAUAUUGAGAUACUCAGAUAAUGACUGUCGCACUUGGAAAUAGAAAUUUCCGUUUGAGGGGGUGUUGUAAGCCUUGGUGUGAGGCUUGAUGAAUCAUUCCGGACCGAGCAUGGUUGAUACGCUCGAAGGGGAAUGCAGUGUAUCCCAGAGACAAGCGUUAACACUCUUCAGAUGUGAUGUGGCAGACCAUCUGGUUGUAGUGAUCCUUUUGUGUGAGAAAAGGUGUGCUUUGGUGACUCUGGUGAUUGAAAGGUGUGGCGAGUACCGGUAAACUCGGCCACAGACGCUCUCGGAAUGGUAAGCUUGAAAGAGCUGCAGAAUGCAAGCUUGUGCUGAAGAAGCAAGAGGACAGUUGCCCCACAUGAAUGGCAAAGGGGGUGAUUGUUGGGUUGUUGCCAUUGCAUGUGCACCCAUCCAAGAUGUCAAAGGUUGGCAGCCACCAUUGUUGAAUGAGCUGGAGUUUGGCAGCCACCAAUGUUGACAACAAAGCAAGACACAGCUGCCAUGAAAUGCCUAUAAAUAGAGGCAUUAUGUGAGAGCAAAAUGUGAGAGAAGUGAGAGUGUGUGAGAACGUGAAGAGAAAGAGGAGCUGCUGCCAUGGGCAGCAGCCCUGCUGCCAUAUGCAGCAGAGUGUGUGAGAGGGAGUUGAGUGAUCCUCCUCCAUGUAUUUAUUGUAUCCUUUCUCUAUCUCUAAAUAAUAUAGACUCUCUCCCGUGGAUGUAGGCAAUUUGCCGAACCACGUAAAAUAUUGUGUCAGUGUGCUUAACCCUCCUAUGAGCAACCAUCAGUACACCACCGGUCCGCGCAUAGGGGAGCCGGAAUUGCCCAACACUUUCGACCUCAUAUGCCGUGCUUUGAAAACCCCGCUCCUUGAAAAACAAAAGCAAAACAAAGAAACUCGAGCAUUGUGCAACGGUUCUUGAGAACAGAUUGUUUGUCAGUGUGAGCGGCAACAGAAAUCGACUUGGUGAGUCUUUCACGUUACAAAUUUUGUGCUGUAGCUCCGCAAAUACUCUGCAAGCAGCAGAAUUGUAUUAAUCUGUGCUUUUCUCGCAAUAGUUUUCCUAUUGCCCAACGGCUUGUCUGUUGCAUGAUUUCCUCUGAACUUCCUUUUGGGUGUUUUCAAAGAUCUGUUUUUUACAGUCAUUUUUAUUUAGAAAUUUAUUACAAUAAUAAUCUUUAUUUUUUAAAAUUUAUUUUUAACAUAAAUGAUUCAAAAACAAUAAAAAAAAUUAAUUUGAAAAAAAAAACCCAAUAUUAAACGGCCUGUUAUUUCUGAAGUUGCCACUGUGAUGAGAGAAUGUAAGAAGCUAAACGUGAAUACAUCACUGCAAAAGGACCAGCACAUUUGGGCAUCACAGAAAUCNNNNNNNNNNNNNNNNNNNNNNNNNNNNNNNNNNNNNNNNNNNNNNNNNNNNNNNNNNNNNNNNNNNNNNNNNNNNNNNNNNNNNNNNNNNNNNNNNNNNNNNNNNNNNNNNNNNNNNNNNNNNNNNNNNNNNNNNNNNNNNNNNNNNNNNNNNNNNNNNNNNNNNNNNNNNNNNNNNNNNNNNNNNNNNNNNNNNNNNNNNNNNNNNNNNNNNNNNNNNNNNNNNNNNNNNNNNNNNNNNNNNNNNNNNNNNNNNNNNNNNNNNNNNNNNNNNNNNNNNNNNNNNNNNNNNNNNNNNNNNNNNNNNNNNNNNNNNNNNNNNNNNNNNNNNNNNNNNNNNNNNNNNNNNNNNNNNNNNNNNNNNNNNNNNNNNNNNNNNNNNNNNNNNNNUGCAUUGAUGGCCCAUGAGGUUACACGUAAUUAAUCAGUAUUGAUAUGCAUUUUCAAGGAAUGGUAAUGGCGGGGGAUAUAAAAAUUCAUAUAAAAAUCACUGUGGUGAUUUGCAAGAGCAGAAAAUUUAAG